CUACGGGUCGCAGCAGUGAGGAAUAUUGCACAAUGGGGGGAACCCUGAUGCAGCAACGCCGCGUGGAGGAUGACGCAUCUCGGUGUGUAAACUCCUUUUAUAUGUCAAGAAAAUGACGGUAGCAUAUGAAUAAGCACCGGCUAACUCCGUGCCAGCAGCCGCGGUAAUACGGAGGGUGCAAGCGUUACUCGGAAUCACUGGGCGUAAAGGACGCGUAGGCGGGGUGGAAAGUCAGGUGUGAAAUCCUACAGCUUAACUGUAGAACUGCACUUGAAACUUCUAAUCUAGAGUAUGGGAGGGGGAGAUGGAAUUAGUGGUGUAGGGGUAAAAUCCGUAGAUAUCACUAGGAAUACCUAAAGCGAAGGCGAUCUCCUGGAACAUUACUGACGCUAAGGCGUGAAAGCGUGGGGAGCAAACAGGAUUAGAUACCCCCGUAGUC
Molecule: ribosomal RNA, 439 nt
Filed under: uncultured bacterium
Lineage: Bacteria
Description: partial 16S ribosomal RNA
Rfam family: Bacterial small subunit ribosomal RNA
Source: RNAcentral